UACGUAGGUGGCAAGCGUUGUCCGGAUUUACUGGGCGUAAAGAGCGCGCAGGCGGUCCGAUGCGUCGUGCGUGAAAGCCCCCGGCUCAACUGGGGAGGGUCGUGCGAUACGGUCGGACUUGAGGCCAGUAGGGGGAUGCGGAAUUCCAGGUGUAGCGGUGAAAUGCGUAGAUAUCUGGAGGAACACCGGUGGCGAAAGCGACGCACUGGACCUCUUCUGACGCUGAGGCGCGAAAGCUAGGGGAGCAAACGGG
RNAcentral lists this ribosomal RNA (253 nucleotides) under uncultured bacterium. Its description in RNAcentral is "partial 16S ribosomal RNA". It matches the Rfam family "Bacterial small subunit ribosomal RNA", at positions 524 to 776 of the family's 1533-position model. The record is from RNAcentral.